Molecule: ribosomal RNA, 253 nt
Filed under: uncultured bacterium
Lineage: Bacteria
Description: partial 16S ribosomal RNA
Rfam family: Bacterial small subunit ribosomal RNA
Source: RNAcentral
UACGUAGGUGGCAAGCGUUGUCCGGAUUUAUUGGGUUUAAAGGGUGCGUAGGCGGCCCUGUAAGUCAGUGGUGAAAUACUCCAGCUUAACUGGAGGGGUGCCAUUGAUACUGCAGGGCUUGAGUGGAGUCGAGGUAGGCGGAAUUGACGGUGUAGCGGUGAAAUGCUUAGAUAUCGUCAAGAACACCGAUAGUGUAGACAGCUUACUAGGCUUCAACUGACGCUGAGGCACGAAAGUGUGGGGAGCAAACAGG